CACGGGGGGAGCAAGCGUUGUUCGGAUUUACUGGGCGUAAAGGGCGCGUAGGCGGCAUGACAAGUCACUUGUGAAAUCUCCGGGCUUAACUCGGAACGGUCAAGUGAUACUGUCGCGCUAGAGUGCGGAAGGGGCAAUCAGAAUUCUUGGUGUAGCGGUGAAAUGCGUAGAUAUCAAGAGGAAUACCUGAGGUGAAGACGGGUUGCUAGGCCGACACUGACGCUGAAGCGCGAAAGCCAGGGGAGCAAACGGG
This 253-nucleotide ribosomal RNA is filed under the name uncultured bacterium. RNAcentral describes it as "partial 16S ribosomal RNA". It matches the Rfam family "Bacterial small subunit ribosomal RNA", at positions 524 to 776 of the family's 1533-position model. The record is from RNAcentral.